UGUCCAGGGAUGGGAAUCGAACCCACAAUGUUCCGCUUACCGGGCAGAUGCCAUGUCCACCAUUCAUGAUUAAUCAAGAAAAGCUAACCACGUAC
Non-coding RNA from Cordylochernes scorpioides, 95 nucleotides. NCBI's taxonomy places the organism in Eukaryota, Metazoa, Arthropoda, Arachnida, Pseudoscorpiones, Chernetidae. The record is from the annotation of a GenBank genome assembly.